RNAcentral lists this ribosomal RNA (440 nucleotides) under uncultured bacterium. Its description in RNAcentral is "partial 16S ribosomal RNA". It matches the Rfam family "Bacterial small subunit ribosomal RNA", at positions 338 to 795 of the family's 1533-position model. The record is from RNAcentral.
CCUACGGGAGACAGCAGUAGGGAAUAUUGCUCAAUGGGGGAAACCCUGAAGCAGCAACGCCGCGUGGAGGAUGAAGGUAUUAGGAUUGUAAACUCCUUUUGUUAGGGAAGAUUAUGACGGUAUCCAACGAAUAAGCAGCGUCUAACUCCGUGCCAGCAGCCGCGGGAAUACGGAGGGAGCAGGCGUUACUCGGAAUCACUGGGCGUAAAGAGUGCGUAGGCGGGGUAAUAAGUCAGAGGUGAAAUCCUGUAGCUUAACUACAGAACUGCAUUUGAAACUGGUACUCUGGAGUGUGGGAGAGGUAUGUGGAAUGCGUGGUGUAGCGGUGAAAUGCAUAGAGAUCGAGAGGAAUACUGAUUGCGAAGGCAGCCUGCUGGAUCAUUACUGACGCUGAUGCACGAAAGCGUGGGUAUCAAACAGGAUUAGAUACCCGUGUAGUC